CUGCAGCUCAAGUGGUGACCGCUAUUAUUGGGCCUAAAACGUUCGUAGCCGGUUUGGUAAAUGCCUGGGUAAAUCGUGUAGCUUAACUAUACGAAUUCCGGGUAGACUGCCAAACUUGAGACCGGGAGAAGCUAGAGGUACUCCUGGGGUAGAGGUGAAAUUCUGUAAUCCUGGGGGGACCACCAGUGGCGAAGGCGUCUAGCUAGAACGGGUCUGACGGUGAGGAACGAAGCCCUGGGGCGCAAACCGGAUUAGAGACCCGAGUAGUCC
This 270-nucleotide ribosomal RNA is filed under the name uncultured archaeon. RNAcentral describes it as "partial 16S ribosomal RNA". It matches the Rfam family "Archaeal small subunit ribosomal RNA", at positions 477 to 747 of the family's 1478-position model. The record is from RNAcentral.